UGGGCAGAUGGGAAAUCUGGAAUACUUUGUUUCUAGAGAGAUGUUCUGCGUUAGAGAAGAAGCAGAGGCUGCAGGGAAGGCGUGGUUUAUGUAUUUACAAUGCGAGAGGACAUGUGGAAGUUCCCUUGUUAUGUCGCCUCACAAGGAAUAAAAGCAACAGGAUGAGGACAGCAUGACUCAGAAGCACAAGCAACAGGAGACAUGAUCAACAGGACUGGAUCAAAACUGGAAACAUUCGGUGUCCUUCAAAGGACACCAUCAGGAAAGUGAAAAGACAGGCCAGGUGCAGUGGCUCAUACCUGUAAUCUCAGCACUUUGGGAGGCAGACAGGCCAGGUGCAGUGGC
Molecule: long non-coding RNA, 345 nt
Filed under: Homo sapiens (human)
Lineage: Eukaryota; Metazoa; Chordata; Mammalia; Primates; Hominidae
Description: novel transcript, antisense CCDC57
Source: RNAcentral